Molecule: non-coding RNA, 65 nt
Organism: Dipodomys ordii (Ord's kangaroo rat)
Lineage: Eukaryota; Metazoa; Chordata; Mammalia; Rodentia; Heteromyidae
Source: Rfam
GGUGGCUUAGUGGUAGAGUGCUUGCCUAACAUGCAUGAAGCCCUGGGUUCGAUUCCUCAGUACCA